UACGUAGGGUGCGAGCGUUGUCCGGAAUUACUGGGCGUAAAGAGCUCGUAGGUGGUUUGUCGCGUUGUUCGUGAAAACUCACAACUCAAUUGUGGGCGUGCGGGCGAUACGGGCAGACUGGAGUACUGCAGGGGAGACUGGAAUUCCUGGUGUAGCGGUGGAAUGCGCAGAUAUCGGGAGGAACACCCGUGGCGAAGGCGGUUCUCUGGGACGGUACUGACGCUGAGACGCGAAAGCGUGGGGAGCGAACAGG
This 253-nucleotide ribosomal RNA is filed under the name uncultured bacterium. RNAcentral describes it as "partial 16S ribosomal RNA". It matches the Rfam family "Bacterial small subunit ribosomal RNA", at positions 524 to 776 of the family's 1533-position model. The record is from RNAcentral.